UUUAACUAAAGGUGAUUGUAACUGAAAAACUCGAAAAGAAAGGAGUGUUGUUUAUCAGCUUUGCCUAUCUAAUACCCCAUGAGGGUGGAGUUAAAUCACAGCACUACAAUC
Small nucleolar RNA from Coffea eugenioides, 111 nucleotides. RefSeq annotates it as small nucleolar RNA snoR97. The record is from RefSeq and is a predicted model, not a curated record. NCBI's taxonomy places the organism in Eukaryota, Viridiplantae, Streptophyta, Magnoliopsida, Gentianales, Rubiaceae. The transcript has a single exon.